Molecule: ribosomal RNA, 263 nt
Filed under: uncultured bacterium
Lineage: Bacteria
Description: partial 16S ribosomal RNA
Rfam family: Bacterial small subunit ribosomal RNA
Source: RNAcentral
CGAACGGGUGAGUAAUACAUAAGUAACCUGCCCUAGACAGGGGGAUAACUAUUGGAAACGAUAGCUAAGACCGCAUAGGUACGGACACUGCAUGGUGACCGUAUUAAAAGUGCCUCAAAGCACUGGUAGAGGAUGGACUUAUGGCGCAUUAGCUGGUUGGCGGGGUAACGGCCCACCAAGGCGACGAUACGUAGCCGACCUGAGAGGGUGACCGGCCACACUGGGACUGAGACACGGCCCAGACUCCUACGGGAGGCAGCAUG